This 497-nucleotide ribosomal RNA is filed under the name uncultured Glomus. RNAcentral describes it as "SSU rRNA". It matches the Rfam family "Eukaryotic small subunit ribosomal RNA", at positions 569 to 1070 of the family's 1831-position model. Lineage: Eukaryota; Fungi; Glomeromycota; Glomeromycetes; Glomerales; Glomeraceae. The record is from RNAcentral.
AGCAGCCGCGGUAAUUCCAGCUCCAAUAGCGUAUAUUAAAGUUGUUGCAGUUAAAAAGCUCGUAGUUGAAUUUCGGGGUUAGUAGGUUGGUCAUGCCUCUGGUAUGUACUGGUCUCACUGAUUCCUCCUUCCUGAUGAACCUUAAUGCCAUUUAUUUGGUGUUUUGGGGAAUUUGGACUGUUACUUUGAAAAAAUUAGAGUGUUUAAAGCAAGCUAACGCUUGAAUACAUUAGCAUGGAAUAAUGAAAUAGGACGUUCGAUCCUAUUUUGUUGGUUUCUAGGAUUGACGUAAUGAUUAAUAGGGAUAGUUGGGGGCAUUAGUAUUCAAUUGUCAGAGGUGAAAUUCUUGGAUUUAUUGAAGACUAACUACUGCGAAAGCAUUUGCCAAGGAUGUUUUCAUUAAUCAAGAACGAAAGUUAGGGGAUCGAAGACGAUCAGAUACCGUCGUAGUCUUAACCAUAAACUAUGCCGACUAGGGAUCGGAUGAUGUAAUUUUU